AGCGCGCCUCCGUGACGUCACUCGCUUUGGAGGCGGGCUCAGCAAGCGGCGCUCCACCGCCAUUGGUCGGGAGCCCUGCAGUAACCAGGGGAACUGCAAACAGUGUAGGGGCAGCUUCCGGUUCGAGCACCCGUAACCGCCGUAACCGCCGUAACCGCCGCCUUUAAGGAUGGACGAGAUCGGUGCAGAUCCGAACAGAAGCCGGCUCGAGGCUGCACAUCGAACCCCCCGUGGACUACUCGGAAGAUUUUGAGUCGACUGAGGAUGACGAUGCCAAGACCAUGGAUGUUUCUGGGGAUCGUCCACAGGUGAAGGAGGCUCAGUCCCACCAUGGGGUCUGGAUUUGCACCAAGACUGAAAAGAGGGCCAAGGCUGCUUUGU
Molecule: long non-coding RNA, 381 nt
Organism: Lepus europaeus (European hare)
Lineage: Eukaryota; Metazoa; Chordata; Mammalia; Lagomorpha; Leporidae
Exons: 3
Source: RefSeq, a predicted model, not a curated record